AGGGUUUUACCUGGAAGGUCUCAUUAAAAAAACAUCAAGUCAUUCACAGUGGAGAGAGACCAUUCAGCUGUGACUUGUGUGGAAAGUCUUUUAGACAGCCUGGAAGCUUAAAAAGACACCAGCUCAUCCAUAGUGGAGUUAAAGAACAUACUUGCAAUCAGUGUGGGAAGUGUUUCUCUCGGAAAGAAGGGUUGGAAGGGCACAAACGUAUCCACAGUGGCAUUAAACAGUACAGCUGUGAUCAGUGUGGUAAAGUCUUUGCUCACCGGAGCGGCUUAUGGACUCAUCAAGUUGCCCACUCUGGAAUUAAGGCAUACAGCUGUGAGGUUUGUGGAAAAACUUUCAGCCAAGUAGGGCACCGAAAUGCACACCUACGCAUUCACACCAAAGAGGAUGUGUACUAUUGUGAACAGUGUGGAAAAGUGUUUAUGACAAACAGAGACUUAAAAAUCCACAAAUUCAUUCACACUGGAGAGAGACCUUAUAAAUGUGACGUGUGUGAUAAGGCUUUUAAAGAUCCAAGUUCCCUCAAAGCGCACCGACAGAUCCACACCAGGAAGAAACUCUACAAGUGCAGUUACUGUGAGAAGCAGAGCGACACAGAUGGAUCCAGUUCUCAACCCUGUCAUCACUGUGGUGGUGGGAAAGCAUUUCGUUGUGACAUUUGUGGAAAAACCUUCAAUUGGCAAAGAAGCCCGAAAAUACAUCUACGUAGACACACUGGACACAAACUCAAGUAUUGCAAAGAAUGUGGGAAAGGUUUCCCCACAGCAGGCGAAUUAGAGCGCCAUGAACUCAUUCACAGUGGCGUUAAAACGAACCUCUGUGACCAGUGUGGGUCAUCCUUCACCACUGCAGGUGAGCUUAAAGCUCAUAAACGAGUCCACACAGGAGAGAAACCAUACAAGUGCAGACACUGUGACAGAAGCUUCUCUCGUGCAAACACUCGUAAUGAUCAUGAACGUACACACAUUGAAGGAAACUUCAGCUGUGACCAGUGUGACAAGAGCUUCAAGAAUCUCAGUUCAUACUCCAAACACAAACGAUCGCACGCUGCAAAUAAACUAUUUCAGUGUGACCAAUGUGCAAAACCAUUCACUUCAUUAUCUGCUCUGACCAAACAUCUGCAUGAUCAUGCAGGACUAAAAUCAUUGCUGCCAUUGGAUCACAACGAAUCUGAACAGACAGAAAGAACCUCUUCUGCAUCAGAAACCUGAUCAGGCUCCACAUAGUUCUGACUCUUUACCCCUGUAAAGAGUGUCAGCUAAUAUCACACCUGGUUCUUAUGACAUAGCUAUGACUUUUGGACUGGCAGUGAUACACUUUGUAUUUAAUAAGUGGCAACCAUUGAAAACUACAGACAUUCACCACCAACAGGAGGUGCCAUAUGGAUUUAGUGCUUUUUGGACCAGGUGGCAGUCAGAGGCCCUGGCGUUCUGAGCUGUGGUCCCAACAAUAGGACCAGUAUAAUUAGCCAUGAUGCUGGCUGAUCAAGUCAGUUGGCAUCAUGUUAGUUGCAUUAAAAAAAAAAACCCAACAACUUCUCUUUUAUUAUCAUUUUAUCUUUUUUUUUUAUUUAUUUCAUUUCAGUUUAUUUUAAAUUUGAGCUAGACCUGGGCUGUACUUCUGUGUAAUACUUAUUUACAGUGGCAGCCCGCAGAAAUAAAA
Oreochromis niloticus (Nile tilapia) is the source of this 1668-nucleotide long non-coding RNA. RefSeq lists it as uncharacterized. The record is from RefSeq and is a predicted model, not a curated record. The transcript is spliced from 2 exons. Lineage: Eukaryota; Metazoa; Chordata; Actinopteri; Cichliformes; Cichlidae.